GGGAAUAAUAAAAGAAUUGACAUUUAUUU
Molecule: non-coding RNA, 29 nt
Filed under: Phytophthora infestans (potato late blight agent)
Lineage: Eukaryota; Oomycota; Peronosporomycetes; Peronosporales; Peronosporaceae
Also listed under: 5 other names
Source: RNAcentral